GAAUUGUGAUCUUAUACAACUAUUAUUUAUUUUUAAAGUAAUUUUUGUAAGCAUUGGGGGGUCGUGAAGAUUCUAUCAGUGAGUAUUUGUUCUCGAAAGGGCUAUGAUUAAUAUUGAAUAAUCAGACAUAGUACGCUAAGGUUGUAUGUCUAAAGGGAAACAGCCCAGAGCAAGUGUAAAUAAGGUUCCAAAAUUAUUAUUAAGUGAAAUAAAGGUAGUUUAUGUCUUAAACGGCCAGGAAAUGGGCUUAGAAGCGGCCAUUUUUUAAAGACCUCGUAACAGAGCACUGGCUUUGUCCUAUAAUUUAGGAUAAAUUAGAUUUAAAUUUCUUAGAUCUAAUUUACAUGGAUAUGAGCACCGACGAUACAACGGAUCUAAAUAAUAUACCGAUACCUUGUCCAUAAAAAUAUAUACUUAUUAUCUGUAUUAGAUAAGUUAUUUGAAAAAGCAAACAGACAUGCAGUAAUGAAAGAGAAUUAAAUCGAAAAAUUUUUUUUUUAGUUUAUUUUUUUUUAAAUAAAAAAAAAUUAAUAUAAUAACAUGUAUAUCGUUUUAUGGGGUAGCGGAACAUUGGGUAUGCCACAUACUUUUWUUAUAUAAAUAAAAUAAGGUAUCCCAAGAGAGAAUGCUGACAUGAGUAACGAUAAAGGGAAAAAUCCCUCGCCUAAAGCUUAUGGUAUUUAGUUAAAGUAACGGCCUCUAAGUUUAUGUUUUAGUAUAACCUAAGGGAUUAAACGAUGAGCAAAUCU
Molecule: ribosomal RNA, 749 nt
Filed under: Pyrenodesmia erodens
Lineage: Eukaryota; Fungi; Ascomycota; Lecanoromycetes; Teloschistales; Teloschistaceae
Description: partial large subunit ribosomal RNA
Rfam family: Bacterial large subunit ribosomal RNA
Source: RNAcentral